RNAcentral lists this long non-coding RNA (1983 nucleotides) under Coffea arabica (coffee). Its description in RNAcentral is "long non-coding RNA (CARA_LNC001829)". The record is from RNAcentral. Lineage: Eukaryota; Viridiplantae; Streptophyta; Magnoliopsida; Gentianales; Rubiaceae.
CCUCCAUUGAGCCAUCCGAAAUUUGAGAGAGAGAGAGAGAGAGACUUGAGAGCACUCCAUUUCCUCCUCCGUCUUGCUCUUGAAGAUCACUUGGAAAACCAUCAACCACCAUAUUUUUCUUCUUCUUCUUCUCUUCUUGUUGAGCCGAGAGAGAGAGAGAGAGAGAGAGAGAGAGAGAGAGAGAGAGAGAGAGAGAGUUCGGGAGAGAGAGAGAGACCAAAAGAGAAGGGACACUAUCCAUCUUGUUUCUUGAAGAGUUGUGGAAGAAAUCACCAAAUAACCUAGAAGAUCUUUGAACUUUCUUUAGGAAACUUGAAGGGGUGAAACUUGGAAGGAAGUUAUGAGGUUGAAUCACACUAGAUCUAGUUAGAUCUUGAGGUAAGAACCGAAAAUCACCCUUAAUUUUUAAUUUCUAGCCAUGAAAAUAUUAGAUUCUCUUGAUUUAAGUAAGAUCUAUGGUAGAUCUAGUAAAUUUCUGGAAGUUAUACCACUAAAUGUUCCAGUGAUUAAAAUACUAGCAUAACUCUUAAUUUGUUGGUUGGAUUCACUUGAAAAUUUUUCAUUGAUAACCAAGGGUUAAUGAUUGAUGAAACCCUUAGGGAUUUGAGUGAGUUUUUGUUGGUUAAAUGAUUAUUUUGUUGCCGAAAUUCUUGAGAAAUUUUCGGCUGAACUAGCCGAAUGUAGAGGGUUAAUUUUCAACCUUCAUUUUCGACAUUUUUGUGUUUUUUUUGACUAAAUUUCACUCAAGUGACUUGGUAUUAGGUUAAACUAUGAUUAUAUGUUGAAUUGGAGUUGAAAGUUAGGAGUUUUAAUGGUUAAAAGUCAUUUUUAUUUCACUAUUUUUGGGGAAAAAACUAUCCGGACAGCAAUGGUGAACUCGAGACUGUUUUGCCCUUGAUUUUGUGUUUUUCACGCGUCGAAUUUUGGGAAAAACUAUUCUAGAUACAUAUUAUUUUCAUAACUUGAGCUUAUAUGUUGAGUUUAAGUGAAUUUGGUUUAGUUUCGCUAAUUGUUGGGGCGAAACUUAUUGUCUCUCUUUACGUGUUUAUGGGAGUGAUUGAAGACUGUGAUACUGAUCCUAAUUUGGAUUCUAAACUUUGAUUUAUUGGUGAGUUUUCAUGUAUGUUAUCUGUCUUGAAUUGGCAAAUGUGACAUAGAUGUGAACUUGAUGUUGUGACUGUGAUGAAUAAUGUUUUGAAUUAUUGAAGUGUUGUGAUGUCACCUGAGUUGUUAUCCCAUCGACGAUUAGUGAUUGAUUGUGCAUGUUAAUUCUUGGAAAUUCCUAAGUCCUAUAGGUAAGUCUGUCGAUUCGAGCUAGUCAUGGGACUUGGUCGAAGAGAUUUGACGAGCCAUAGGAGAGUGUUUUAUAUUCAUUGGAUUUGGCGUUUAGACUUGUCCCUUUUAAAGUGAAAACUACGGUAUGCUCGAACAAUACCCAUUUUAAGUGUUUUGGAUUUCGGGCCCAGUAGGGGGAGUAGUUGGAAGGAGAAUGAAGUAAGUGAAAUUCUACAUAGUGAUAAAACUUGAAAGUCGACGGAGUGUCAACUACGUGAAAUAAGAUCAAGAUUUGUGGAAAUUGGCUCCUGAGAGCCACCCGUAUCCUACUCCCUUGAUAAUGUUAAUCGCUUUAUUUACUCACUUUGAAUUUUGAACUUGAAGUGUAAUUUGAACUGCUUUAUGUGACUGUAUGCCUUUUUGGAGCUUGCUGGGCGUUAGCUCAUUCCUUCAAAAUUUUUUUCCUUUACAGGAAUUGAGAACCCGAGCGAAGCCGUUGUCCGUUACGGUGUGAUCUUGUUUCUUUUGUUUCUUGUUUUGGGUUGUUAAACUUUGAAUUCGAUAUUUUGGAAGCUUAUAAGACGAACUCUGAUUUCAUCUUAAGUACGUUGGAUCGUAUUUUGUUAGUUGGAUUGUAAAUUGAAUUUAGUUAUGUUAUAAGUUGUGAAAUUGUUAUUUUAAGUACUUUGGAAGUAUUUUAUUCGAUCG